AAAGCUUGACAGGUUUCUCCAGAAAAGUGGCCAUCCAUGGAAUGAAUGAAACGUUCCCUUUCUGUUCCA
Loxodonta africana (African savanna elephant) is the source of this 69-nucleotide long non-coding RNA. It matches the Rfam family "SOX2 overlapping transcript exon 2". Rfam says of the family: SOX2 overlapping transcript (SOX2OT) is a long non-coding RNA, containing at least 5 exons. The record is from Rfam. NCBI's taxonomy places the organism in Eukaryota, Metazoa, Chordata, Mammalia, Proboscidea, Elephantidae.